CGUCUAUAUACGUAUAGCAUAUCAAUAAGCGGAGGAAAAGAAACUAACAAGGAUUCCCUUAGUAACGGCGAGUGAAGCGGGAAGAGCUCAAAUUUGAAAUCUUCAAGGUUCUACCUUGACGAAUUGUAGUUUAUAGAAGUGUUUUCUGUUAGUAGAGUGGCAAAAGUUCUUUGGAAUAGGACAUCAUAGAGGGUGAGAAUCCCGUAUUUGGUCAUUCUUUCUAGCUUUGUGAUACACUUUCAACGAGUCGGAUUGUUUGGGAAUGCAGUCCAAAAUGGGUGGUAAAUUUCAUCUAAAGCUAAAUACUGGCGAGAGACCGAUAGCGAACAAGUACCGUGAGGGAAAGAUGAAAAGAACUUUGAAAAGAGAGUUAAACAGUACGUGAAAUUGUCAAAAGGGAAGCGUUUGACACCAGUGUUGUUUUCUCGAAAAUCAAUUAAAAAUGAGUGGGAUGUUGUGUUGUAUUGACUUUAUCAGCUUUCUGCACUUUUUUUCCUUAUCCUUUUUAAUGCACUUUUCGUUCAACAAGUCAACAUCAAUUUCUUUUGUUGUAAAAGAGUCAUUGGAAGGUGGCUUUUCUUUCGGAGAAAGUGUUUAUAGCCUUUGGCUUCUGCAAUCGGAGAGAUUGAGGUCUGCAGCGUAGAUCCUUCGGGGUUAGAUAGCAUUUGUGCUAAGUUAUAGCCUUUUCAUAGACAACUUGUUGACUAUGUUCAGUCAUUGUAGCUUACUCGCUUAUGCUAUUUUACCUACGCUUAGGAUGUUGAUAUGCAUGACUGAUAU
RNAcentral lists this ribosomal RNA (780 nucleotides) under uncultured Neocallimastigales. RNAcentral describes it as "partial large subunit ribosomal RNA". It matches the Rfam family "Eukaryotic large subunit ribosomal RNA", at positions 26 to 635 of the family's 3401-position model. The record is from RNAcentral. Lineage: Eukaryota; Fungi; Neocallimastigomycota; Neocallimastigomycetes; Neocallimastigales.